UGGGAUUACAAGCGUGAGACACCGUGCCUGUCCCUGUACACAUUCUUUAACUACCACUUAUAAAUGAGAACAGGCAGUAUUUGUCUUUCUGUGUCUGAGUUGUUUCACUUAAGAUCAUGGCCUCCCAUUCCAUCCAUAUUGUUGCAAAAGACACAAUUUCAUUAUUUUUAAUGUCUGAAUAGUAUUCCACUGUGUGAAUAUACCACAUUUUCAUUAUUCAAUCUUCUGUUGAUGGACACUUAGGCUAAUUUUGUAUGUUUGCUAUUGUGAAUAGUCUGCAAUAAACACAUGAGUGCAGGGAACUUUUUGAUGUAAUGAUUUCCACUCCUUUGGGUAGACACCCUGUAGUAGGAAUGGCUUUUCAGCAUUAUAUGGAUGGUAUGUUAAUGGUAGUAUUAACUAACUGGAAACUGAAGAGGCAAAAUUAUGCUUAUGGGUGAAUACAUACUGAACCUAUAAUGAGUAACAAUGACAAAUUCAGAGUUAUGGUUCUGACCCAUGGUGUAUUUUAUCUAACAUUACUUCUGACAGCAAAUAUGUAGCAUUUGCUGAACACGAGCCAAUUCUCCAAGAAAAACUGGUGUUCAAUAAUUCAAUGCUGACACCACUUAACAUUUCCACAGACCCCACAAAUUGAGGGCUCAGUUCCACAACAGGGACCCUACUGCAGAUGCCAAAUGCAAGCCCUAGGGACCACCCUUUUAACCAAAUGUGUAUAAAACCAACAACUCUACUAUCAGAUUUAAUAAUUUGCUACAACAAGUUGAAGAACUCAGUUAAACAAGUUGCUUAAGGUUAUCAGUUUGUUAUAAAGUAUAUGUCAAGAAUACCUAAAUGGAAGACAUAUGUCAGCCCUCCAAGACAUUUUAAUUUGUGCAAUUUCACUCUAAUUAAACCAACUCACUGAAUACAAAACCAAGCAGCUGAUAAAGU
RNAcentral lists this long non-coding RNA (933 nucleotides) under Homo sapiens (human). Its description in RNAcentral is "HSALNT0255934". The record is from RNAcentral. Lineage: Eukaryota; Metazoa; Chordata; Mammalia; Primates; Hominidae.